RNAcentral lists this ribosomal RNA (501 nucleotides) under uncultured bacterium. RNAcentral describes it as "bacterial SSU rRNA". It matches the Rfam family "Bacterial small subunit ribosomal RNA", at positions 8 to 518 of the family's 1533-position model. The record is from RNAcentral.
AGAGUUUGAUCAUGGCUCAGGAUGAACGCUGGCGGCGUGCUUAACACAUGCAAGUCGAACGAAGCAACUAUCUUGCUUGCAAGAGAGUUGACUUAGUGGCGGACGGGUGAGUAACGCGUGGGUAACCUGCCUCAUACAGGGGGAUAACAGUUGGAAACGACUGCUAAGACCGCAUAACCCGCUAGUGUCGCAUGACACGGACGGAAAAUAUUUAUAGGUAUGAGAUGGGCCCGCGUCUGAUUAGCUAGUUGGUAAGGUAACGGCUUACCAAGGCGACGAUCAGUAGCCGACUUGAGAGAGUGAUCGGCCACAUUGGGACUGAGACACGGCCCAAACUCCUACGGGAGGCAGCAGUGGGGAAUAUUGGACAAUGGGGGAAACCCUGAUCCAGCGACGCCCGCGUGAGUGAAGAAGUAUUUCGGUAUGUAAAGCUCUAUCAGCAGGGAAGAUAAUGACAGUACCUGACUAAGAAGCCCCGGCUAACUACGUGCCAGCAGCAGC